RNAcentral lists this ribosomal RNA (948 nucleotides) under Stiliger ornatus. Its description in RNAcentral is "partial 16S ribosomal RNA". It matches the Rfam family "Bacterial large subunit ribosomal RNA", at positions 17 to 2596 of the family's 2925-position model. Lineage: Eukaryota; Metazoa; Mollusca; Gastropoda; Limapontiidae. The record is from RNAcentral.
UAAACUUUAUUUUUUAUUUUAACUUUUUUCUAGUUUAACAGAAAUGGUGUAAUAAAAGUAAUUUUAGGAACACUUCCUUUUUGUAUAACGGAUACACUAUAAGUUUCUCACUUAAGAUUUCCCGAAAGCAUAAGAUCUAGCCUUGAGCUAAGGAUUUAGCCUACUUUAAUGCUAUGUAGAAUUAUGGUAAGAUAGACUCGAGGCUAGGGGCGAAAAACCUACAAUUUUGCUAAUAUCUGGAUUUAAACUAAAAGUAUAUAGUACUUAAGACAUACAUAUAGCGUUGAGGCUGUAUGUACUUAAAAUGUUAGUUUAUAUUAUUUUUAACUAGGGUUAAAAUCUCUUGUUAAUUGUGAACUUAAUAAUUAAUGUCUUUUUAAUUUUUAUAACGGUUUAAUAUUUCCUCAAAUCUCCAAGGAAAUAGAGAAUGUUUAUAUUAGUAAUAAAUUUUCUUGUUAUUUUAAAUAUAGUGAAAGGAACUCGGCAAACUUUUACCUCAACUGUAUACCAAAAACAUAGCCUUGAGUCUUAUUCAAGGUAAAGCCUGCCCAGUGCUGUUAGCUGUAAACGGCCGCAGUACCCUGACUGUGCUAAGGUAGCAUAAUCAGUUGGCUUUUAAAUGGAGUCGGGAAUGAAUGGAUUUAUGGGGUUAAGCUGUCUCUUAUAUAUUAAAUUAAAUUUACUUAUUAGGUGAAAAUGCCUAAAUAUAGAAAAAAGACGAGAAGACCCUAGGAGUUUUUACUAAAGUUUGUUAAAAACUACGUUUUUGUUGGGGCGACAAGAGAGGAAAUAGAACCUCUUUUAUUUUACAUGCCGACUUAGUAUGAAAGUUUAAACUACCCUAGGGAUAACAGCGUAAUUCUUUUUGAGUUUGCGACCUCGAUGUUGGACUAGGAAUUUAGUGGGCUAGCCGCCUACCUGAAUUGUUCUGUUCGAACUAUUUUUCCU